Molecule: long non-coding RNA, 922 nt
Organism: Cyanistes caeruleus (blue tit)
Lineage: Eukaryota; Metazoa; Chordata; Aves; Passeriformes; Paridae
Source: RefSeq, a predicted model, not a curated record
UCAUCAGGUAAAACUUCCAUGGAAUUUCCAAAGCCUGCCCAUGCAUUCACUUUUAUUUGUUCCUAUGAACAGCUUGUGCCUGUUUGCAGUAGUGUGUUGCCUCCGGGUUAUGACCUGUUGGUUGACAAAAACUGGUGCCAGGUGAGGCUCCUGCCAGGGCAUGACUGCCAGGCUGAAGAGUUCCAAGGAGGUGGCUCAUUUAUUUCCAUGACACUGUGCUCCUUUGUGUGCUCCGCCGAGCAAGUCAUGGCAAGCGGCAUUGAAGCAAGUCUCUGUUUAAAGUGGAAAAGCUCCAAAGCUGAUAAAUUUCCUCUGUCAAAUGGGUCAGAGAAAGGACAUCCCUGCUCUAGGCCAGGCGGGUGUCAUUAGGUAAACGAGGGUUGUUCCUCAGCCUUGGAAGUGGCCCAAGAUGGAGCUGAGCACUUGGAAGCUGUGCUAAAGGGGAUGAUUGGAAAGGGCAGGAUCAGGGUGGAGGAUCUGCAGCACCGCAGGGAGAAGAGCUUGUUGCUGCACUCAGAGCACCAUCCUGUGCUUUGCAAAGCUCUGCAAGGGGCAGCAGCCUUUGCUCUGUCAGGUGUCAGCUUUUCCCCAGGCAACAAAGGCAGUAAAGAAUCUGGACAAGCUGGGGAGAGCCAGGAACUGACCUGAUGCAGGGUCCCACUUAAAAGUUCUGCCUAAGCUGGACCAGAGAUUUUUACUCCAGACCCACUGAGAUGAACAAAGCAGGAACUUGAACGUGGGUGUCCCAAUGUCAAGAGCUUUCCAGAGAAUGAAGCCAGCUUCUACUCAUUGCCAUAAAUGCCAGUUUUGACUGAAAGGUGACUGAAUACUGUUCAUGUGGAAGAGAAACCAGAAAGACAUCAGGACAGCAUGAAGAGAAGGCAUAAAGAAAGUCACAGCUAAAUAAAUACUUUCUCUCUGA